AUUCCGGUUGAUCCUGCCGGAGGCUAUUGCUAUCGGGGUCCGAUUCAGCCAUGCUAGUUGUACGGGUUUAGGCCCGUAGCAAAUAGCUCCGUAACACGUGGUCAAACUACCCUCUGGACCGGGAUAUCCUCGGGAAACUGAGGUCGAUCCCAGAUACUGCUUUCAUGUUGGAACACAGAAAGUCGGAAACGGUCCGCCGCCGGAGGACGUGACUGCGGCCGAUUAGGUAGACGGUGGGGUAACGGCCCACCGUGCCGAUAAUCGGUACGGGUUGUGAGAGCAAGAACCCGGAGACGGUAUCUGAGACAAGAUACCGGGCCCUACGGGGCGCAGCAGGCGCGAAACCUUUACACUGCACGCCAGUGCGAUAAGGGGACCCCGAGUGCGAGGGCAUACAGUCCUCGCUUUUCGUGACCGUAAGAAGGUCUCAGAAUAAGAGCUGGGCAAGACCGGUGCCAGCCCGCCGCGGUAAAACCGGCAGCUCGAGUGAUAGCCACUNUUAUUGGGCCUAAAGCGUCCGUAGCCGGCCGAACAGGUCCGUCGGGAAAUCCACCCGCUCAACGGGUGGACGUCCGGCGGAAACCAGUCGGCUUGGGGCCGGGAGACCAGAGAGGUACGUCCGGGGUAGGAGUGAAAUCCUGUAAUCCUGGACGGACCGCCGGUAGCGAAAGCGUCUCUGGAGAACGGACCCGACGGUGAGGGACGAAAGCUUGGGUCUCGAACCGGAUUAGAUACCCGGGUAGUCCAAGCUGUAAACGAUGCUCGCUAGGUGUGGCGUUGGCUACGAGCCAGCGCUGUGCUGUAGGGAAGCCGAGAAGCGAGCCGCCUGGGAAGUACGUCCGCAAGGAUGAAACUUAAAGGAAUUGGCGGGGGAGCACU
Molecule: ribosomal RNA, 879 nt
Filed under: uncultured Halococcus sp.
Lineage: Archaea; Methanobacteriati; Methanobacteriota; Halobacteria; Halobacteriales; Halococcaceae
Description: bacterial SSU rRNA
Rfam family: Archaeal small subunit ribosomal RNA
Source: RNAcentral